CAGCCGCCGCGGUAAUACGUAGGGUGCAAGCGUUAAUCGGAAUUACUGGGCGUAAAGCGUGCGCAGGCGGUUCGGAAAGAAAGAUGUGAAAUCCCAGAGCUUAACUUUGGAACUGCAUUUUUAACUACCGGGCUAGAGUGGGUCAGAGGGAGGUGGAAUUCCGCGUGUAGCAGUGAAAUGCGUAGAUAUGCGGAGGAACACCGAUGGCGAAGGCAGCCUCCUGGGAUAACACUGACGCUCAUGCACGAAAGCGUGGGGAGCAAACAGGAUUAGAUACCCUGGUAGUCCACGCCCUAAACGAUGUCAACUAGCUGUUGGGGCCUUCGGGCCUUGGUAGCGCAGCUAACGCGUGAAGUUGACCGCCUGGGGAGUACGGUCGCAAGAUUAAAACUUAAAGGAAUUGGCGGG
RNAcentral lists this ribosomal RNA (408 nucleotides) under uncultured microorganism. RNAcentral's name for it is "bacterial SSU rRNA". It matches the Rfam family "Bacterial small subunit ribosomal RNA", at positions 509 to 917 of the family's 1533-position model. The record is from RNAcentral.